RNAcentral lists this ribosomal RNA (253 nucleotides) under uncultured bacterium. RNAcentral's name for it is "partial 16S ribosomal RNA". It matches the Rfam family "Bacterial small subunit ribosomal RNA", at positions 524 to 776 of the family's 1533-position model. The record is from RNAcentral.
GACGAACCGUGCGAACGUUGUUCGGAAUCACUGGGCUUAAAGGGCGCGUAGGCGGCAUAGCAAGUCCGGGGUGAAAGCCCCCGGCUUAACCUGGGAACUGCGUCUGAUACUGGAGGGCUUGAGUGCGGGAGAGGGAUGUGGAAUUCCAGGUGUAGCGGUGAAAUGCGUAGAUAUCUGGAGGAACACCGGUGGCGAAGGCGGCAUCCUGGACCGACACUGACGCUGAGGCGCGAAAGCUAGGGUAGCAAACGGG